CCUACGGGAGGCAGCAGUGGGGGAUAUUGCACAAUGGGGGGAACCCUGAUGCAGCGACGCCGCGUGGGUGAAGAAGCGCCUCGGCGCGUAAAGCCCUGUCAGCAGGGAAGAAAAUGACGGUACCUGAAGAAGAAGCCCCGGCUAACUACGUGCCAGCAGCCGCGGUAAUACGUAGGGGGCAAGCGUUAUCCGGAUUUACUGGGUGUAAAGGGGGCGCAGACGGCGAUGCAAGCCAGGUGUGAAAGCCCGGGGCACAACCCCGGGAGUGCGCUUGAGAAGGCGUGGCUGGAGUUCAGGGGGGGCAGGCGGAAUUCCUGGUGUAGCGGUGAAAUGCGUAGAUAUCAGGAGGAACGCCGGUGGCGAAGGCGGCCUGCUGGACUGCAACUGACGUUGAGGCCCGAAAGCGUGGGGAGCAAACAGGAUUAGAUACCCUAGUAGUC
This 440-nucleotide ribosomal RNA is filed under the name uncultured bacterium. RNAcentral describes it as "partial 16S ribosomal RNA". It matches the Rfam family "Bacterial small subunit ribosomal RNA", at positions 338 to 795 of the family's 1533-position model. The record is from RNAcentral.